ACUGGUAAUCUAGAGUGGGGGAGAGGCAGAUGGAAUUGGUGGUGUAGGGGUAAAAUCCGUAGAUAUCACCAAGAAUACCCAUUGCGAAGGCGAUCUGCUGGAACUUAACUGACGCUAAGGCGCGAAAGCGUGGGGAGCAAACAGGAUUAGAUACCCUGGUAGUCCACGCCCUAAACGAUGUAUGCUAGUUGUUGGGGUGCUAGUCAUCUCAGUAAUGCAGCUAACGCAUUAAGCAUACCGCCUGGGGAGUACGGUCGCAAGAUUAAAACUCAAAGGAAUAGACGGGGACCCGCACAAGCGGUGGAGCAUGUGGUUUAAUUCGAAGAUACGCGAAGAACCUUACCUGGGCUUGAUAUCCUAAGAACCUUAUAGAGAUAUGAGGGUGCUAGCUUGCUAGAACUUAGAGACAGGUGCUGCACGGCUGUCGUCAGCUCGUGUCGUGAGAUGUUGGGUUAAGUCCCGCAACGAGCGCAACCCACGUAUUUAGUUGCUAACACUUCGGGUGAGCACUCUAAAUAGACUGCCUUCGUAAGGAGGAGGAAGGUGUGGACGACGUCAAGUCAUCAUGGCCCUUAUGCCCAGGGCGACACACGUGCUACAAUGGCAUAUACAAUGAGACGCAAUACCGCGAGGUGGAGCAAAUCUAUAAAAUAUGUCCCAGUUCGGAUUGUUCUCUGCAACUCGAGAGCAUGAAGCCGGAAUCGCUAGUAAUCGUAGAUCAGCCAUGCUACGGUGAAUACGUUCCCGGGUCUUGUACUCACCGCCCGUCACACCAUGGGAGUUGAUUUCACUCGAAGCCGGAAUACUAAACUAGUUACCGUCCACAGUGGAAUCAGCGACUGGGGUGAAGUCGUAACAAGGUAACCGUAGGAGAACCUGCGGUUGGAUCACCUCCUUUCUA
RNAcentral lists this ribosomal RNA (901 nucleotides) under Campylobacter lari. RNAcentral's name for it is "bacterial SSU rRNA". It matches the Rfam family "Bacterial small subunit ribosomal RNA", at positions 632 to 1533 of the family's 1533-position model. Lineage: Bacteria; Pseudomonadati; Campylobacterota; Epsilonproteobacteria; Campylobacterales; Campylobacteraceae. The record is from RNAcentral.